This 305-nucleotide ribosomal RNA is filed under the name uncultured bacterium. RNAcentral describes it as "bacterial SSU rRNA". It matches the Rfam family "Bacterial small subunit ribosomal RNA", at positions 338 to 640 of the family's 1533-position model. The record is from RNAcentral.
CCUACGGGGGGCAGCAGUGAGGAAUAUUGGUCAAUGGGCUUACGCCUGAACCAGCCAAGUCGCGUGAGGGAAGACUGCCCUAUGGGUUGUAAACCUCUUUUGUCAGGGAGCAACGCCGGCUACGUGUAGCCGGACUGAGAGUACCUGAAGAAAAAGCAUCGGCUAACUCCGUGCCAGCAGCCGCGGUAAUACGGAGGAUGCGAGCGUUAUCCGGAUUUAUUGGGUUUAAAGGGUGCGUAGGCGGAUUUUUAAGUCAGCGGUAAAAUGUCCGGGCUCAACCCGGGCCGGCCGUUGAAACUGGGGAU